AUACGGAGGGUGCAAGCGUUGUUCGGAAUUACUGGGCGUAAAGCGCGCGUAGGCGGUCUGUUAUGUCAGAUGUGAAAGUCCUCGGCUUAACCGGAGAAGUGCAUUUGAAACUGGCAGACUUGAGUACUGGAGGGGGUGGUGGAAUUCCCGGUGUAGAGGUGAAAUUCGUAGAUAUCGGGAGGAAUACCGGUGGCGAAGGCGACCACCUGGCCAGAUACUGACGCUGAGGUGCGAAAGCGUGGGGAGCAAACAGGAUUAGAAACCCCAGUAGUCC
Molecule: ribosomal RNA, 274 nt
Filed under: uncultured bacterium
Lineage: Bacteria
Description: partial 16S ribosomal RNA
Rfam family: Bacterial small subunit ribosomal RNA
Source: RNAcentral